CCCUCAACUUUCAUUGAUAUCUGGAAACACAAAUGCAGCGCCAUCAGUAAGCUUACGGAAGAAUAUAGUAUCAAAAAAGCGGGAUAGGGGUUGGAGUAUGCCUUGCUUUUGAUGGUUGCUAACAUAAAGUUGCUCAUAAACAGCAUUGUUUUUUAGUUGUUAAGCGUUUGAGCUCCGGAGGAAAGAAAAGGCAUAUGCUUAAGGCUCUAUCUAUAAAGACAGCAAGGCCAAUGUUCGUUUUGAGGGAAUUGAAAUCUUAUCAACGCGAGAACGGGUUGCGGCGGUGCGUUCUGGAAAUGUAGGAGUGACUUGGGAGCAGCACCAUUUGACCAGUGAAAUUGAUAAAUCCAUAAAAUCCAGAACUACCAAAGAACGCAGAAGUUUAAUUUAAUAAUACUCUAAACAUUUCCUUAAAAUGUGAAAUGGAAAACUGAAAAUAAAUGUUGCAAACGCUUU
Long non-coding RNA from Aedes albopictus (Asian tiger mosquito), 456 nucleotides. RefSeq lists it as uncharacterized. NCBI's taxonomy places the organism in Eukaryota, Metazoa, Arthropoda, Insecta, Diptera, Culicidae. The transcript is spliced from 2 exons. The record is from RefSeq and is a predicted model, not a curated record.